AUUAGCUAGUUGGUGAGGUAAGGGCUCACCAAGGCGACGAUCCCUAGCUGGUCUGAGAGGAUGAUCAGCCACACUGGAACUGAGACACGGUCCAGACUCCUACGGGAGGCAGCAGUGGGGAAUAUUGCACAAUGGGCGCAAGCCUGAUGCAGCCAUGCCGCGUGUAUGAAGAAGGCCUUCGGGUUGUAAAGUACUUUCAGCAGUGAGGAAGAUGGUUGUGUUAAUACCUGCAUCAUUUGACGUUAGCUGCAGAAGAAGCACCGGCUAACUCCGUGCCAGCAGCCGCGGUAAUACGGAGGGUGCGAGCGUUAAUCGGAAUUACUGGGCGUAAAGCGCAUGCAGGUGGUUUGUUAAGUCAGAUGUGAAAGCCCGGGGCUCAACCUCGGAAUAGCAUUUGAAACUGGCAGACUAGAGUACUGUAGAGGGGGGUAGAAUUUCAGGUGUAGCGGUGAAAUGCGUAGAGAUCUGAAGGAAUACCGGUGGCGAAGGCGGCCCCCUGGACAGAUACUGACACUCAGAUGCGAAAGCGUGGGGAGCAAACAGGAUUAGAUACCC
Molecule: ribosomal RNA, 555 nt
Filed under: Vibrio tubiashii
Lineage: Bacteria; Pseudomonadati; Pseudomonadota; Gammaproteobacteria; Vibrionales; Vibrionaceae
Description: bacterial SSU rRNA
Rfam family: Bacterial small subunit ribosomal RNA
Source: RNAcentral